AUGGCUCAGGAUGAACGCUGGCGGCGUGCUUAACACAUGCAAGUCGAACGAAGCAAUUUCUUACGAUCGUCUUCGGGGUGACGAGUUAUGACUGAGUGGCGGACGGGUGAGUAACGCGUGGGUAACCUGCCUUGUACAGGGGGACAACAGUUGGAAACGACUGCUAAUACCGCAUAAGCGCACAGCAUCGCAUGAUGCAGUGUGAAAAGUUAUUUCGGUACAAGAUGGACCCGCGUCUGAUUAGCUAGUUGGUGAGGUAACGGCCCACCAAGGCGACGAUCAGUAGCCGACCUGAGAGGGUGACCGGCCACAUUGGGACUGAGACACGGCCCAAACUCCUACGGGAGGCAGCAGUGGGGAAUAUUGCACAAUGGGCGCAAGCCUGAUGCAAGCGACGCCGCGUGAGCGAAGAAGUAUUUCGGUAUGUAAAGCUCUAUCAGCAGGGAAGAUAAUGACGGUACCUGACUAAGAAGCACCGGCUAAAUACGUGCCAGCCGCCGC
Molecule: ribosomal RNA, 501 nt
Filed under: uncultured bacterium
Lineage: Bacteria
Description: bacterial SSU rRNA
Rfam family: Bacterial small subunit ribosomal RNA
Source: RNAcentral